Molecule: long non-coding RNA, 481 nt
Organism: Manis pentadactyla (Chinese pangolin)
Lineage: Eukaryota; Metazoa; Chordata; Mammalia; Pholidota; Manidae
Exons: 3
Source: RefSeq, a predicted model, not a curated record
CGGGAAUCCAACCUCCCUCCCGUUCGCUGCCGUACAUGUCACCGCCCCUAGCGAGCUAAGGUGACCGUGACCGUGACCGAGUGACAGGUCAGUCACUCAAGUCUCUGCUCACAAGGCCGGGUCGACCAGCGGGCUGAGCGGGCGCGCGUGCGGCGCGACGCAUGUGCUGUGAGUGGGACGGACGUGAGUCGCUCCGCGAUGACGUCAUGGGCAGGGACGACGCUGCGAACCUCAGGACCGUUUCGGCUGUGGACGGGAAUCAAACCUCCCCGGAGUGAACACCCUCCCUCCUGUUCGCUGCUCUACAUGUCACCGCCCACGCCAGCUACGGCGACCGAGACCGAGUGACAGGGCACAGUAAGCAGCAAACUACAUUUCCCCUUCCUCUGUGUGGAUACCGACAUCUCCCUGACAUAAGACACAGGUCGCCAUGACUCCACUACCGAAGGGACUAAACAAGUUCUUACAUGGUGAACGAUGC